This is a small nuclear RNA of Rattus norvegicus (Norway rat), 104 nucleotides long. Ensembl annotates it as U2 spliceosomal RNA. Lineage: Eukaryota; Metazoa; Chordata; Mammalia; Rodentia; Muridae. The record is from Ensembl.
ACACCAUCUCGGCCUUAGGGCUAAGAUCACGUGUAAUAUCUGUUCUUAUCAGUUUAAUAAUACAUUUUUUUUAAAAACUAUGAAGUGUGUAUUCGGUACUCUAU